Molecule: long non-coding RNA, 1010 nt
Organism: Ipomoea nil (Japanese morning glory)
Lineage: Eukaryota; Viridiplantae; Streptophyta; Magnoliopsida; Solanales; Convolvulaceae
Exons: 4
Source: RefSeq, a predicted model, not a curated record
UAUUGUUGCCCCAUGACAUUUUCAAGCUAGUUUUUUUGUAUUCUGUGCCUUGAUGGUUGAACCUUGCAACCAAAAAUUCCUUAUCUGCCCUUCUGAUGCACCAACCGUUCUAAAUCCGGCUUCUGUCCGGCUUGUGAAGUACAAAGAGAUUGUUAGCUUUUUACUGUAGCUAUGUGCUGCAUUCACAGCAUCAUCAACACCUUCUUCAGGGAACCCGCGACCAUCCACCGCUGCCAUCAGCCUCUACCCUUUUUCCCACCGGCGAGACACCAUCCCUGGCCUCGUGGCCUCUCCUCUGGCGUAGGCAACUAAGAGAAUCGCGACCUCUGGUGGCGACUUCGGCUCGGCAGCAGCUGAACGGAGGUAGCGGCUCUUCGACGGCGUCCCCUGUUUUCCACGCCGCAGGCAGUAACUUCUCCGACCUCUGCUUCCCUGUCGACAUCUUGCACCGGUGACCAACAACAAAGAAGGAGUUGAUGGGUAUUUGUGCUGACGUGAGCAGAUGUGAACGACGGCGACUUUGGUCCUCUUCCUGGUGUGGCCAAGUCAACAGCAAGGAGAUCCGGUAGCAUGGAUGAUGACCGACGAUGAACGGAUCCCCCACCGGCGAACGGAUUAGAGACCGAUAAUUGUGUGGCUGUUGAAGGCAGCGACUAAGAUUAUAGCACGUCAACAGGUCACGCUAAUGCAGCAAAUUGUUAACUCGACAGUUGCCACCGUGACCACUGGCCAUUCUGGGUCGACGACAGUCUACCUCUAUUGCCUGAUUUCUCUUAAUGAAGUUACGGAUGAAGCAAAAACAGAAAGGAUGAGGAAAGAAGAAGAGUUGCAGAGAGAUGGAGCGAAGGGAAAAAAAUAUCUAUCAGUUGUGGAAGAACCUGCAGUUUAUGUAUUUAUACAAUGGACUAAUGGAAUAACUGAUCUGUUGCGUGAGUAGCUGUACUCUAACAGAAUAAUACAGCUGUUCAACUAAUUUAAAGCUCUAAUAGACUACUUUGUUGUGCACCCUC